RNAcentral lists this ribosomal RNA (721 nucleotides) under Cupriavidus sp. SMCC B0668. RNAcentral describes it as "bacterial SSU rRNA". It matches the Rfam family "Bacterial small subunit ribosomal RNA", at positions 27 to 743 of the family's 1533-position model. The record is from RNAcentral. Lineage: Bacteria; Pseudomonadati; Pseudomonadota; Betaproteobacteria; Burkholderiales; Burkholderiaceae.
GAUUGAACGCUGGCGGCAUGCCUUACACAUGCAAGUCGAACGGCAGCACGGGAGCAAUCCUGGUGGCGAGUGGCGAACGGGUGAGUAAUACAUCGGAACGUGCCCUGUCGUGGGGGAUAACUAGUCGAAAGAUUAGCUAAUACCGCAUACGACCUGAGGGUGAAAGCGGGGGACCGYAAGGCCUCGCGCGAUAGGAGCGGCCGAUGUCUGAUUAGCUAGUUGGUGGGGUAAAGGCCCACCAAGGCGACGAUCAGUAGCUGGUCUGAGAGGACGAUCAGCCACACUGGGACUGAGACACGGCCCAGACUCCUACGGGAGGCAGCAGUGGGGAAUUUUGGACAAUGGGGGCAACCCUGAUCCAGCAAUGCCGCGUGUGUGAAGAAGGCCUUCGGGUUGUAAAGCACUUUUGUCCGGAAAGAAAUCCCUUGCUCUAAUACAGCGGGGGGAUGACGGUACCGGAAGAAUAAGCACCGGCUAACUACGUGCCAGCAGCCGCGGUAAUACGUAGGGUGCGAGCGUUAAUCGGAAUUACUGGGCGUAAAGCGUGCGCAGGCGGUUUUGUAAGACAGGCGUGAAAUCCCCGAGCUCAACUUGGGAAUGGCGCUUGUGACUGCAAGGCUAGAGUAUGUCAGAGGGGGGUAGAAUUCCACGUGUAGCAGUGAAAUGCGUAGAGAUGUGGAGGAAUACCGAUGGCGAAGGCAGCCCCCUGGGACGUCACUGA